CUAUGUUCAGAGGCAAUGGUUCAAGCUUUAUUCUAUGGUUCAAGUACACUCCGUCAGAGGCCACGUUGCCGUCCGAUUCAAAGGAUUGAGCCUCAAUCAUCCUUCCACUUAUAUAUUCAGUACCACGAAACACCGCUAGGGUAUCGAAAGAAAGAUGUCAGCGUCCAUUAAAAAGUUUGACACAAUGAUUUGGUACACAAACGGUGAUCUGUUUUCUGCAUUUGAAAGAAUGCAAUUCCAAGCAAAUUUAUGCCAAGCUGGUGGUGGUGCACGGUGACAACGUCCCAACUAAUGACACUGUUUUGAAACUGCGCAGACGAUUUCAAUGCGAUCAAGCUAGCCUGGACGACGAGGAACAAUGUAACCGACCGUCGCUCGAUGGUGAACAACAAAUUACUAAUGGAAGUGGAGGCUCCAUUGCUCUGGCGGAUAUCUGUUGAACAAAUAGUGCCGCAGGAUAACGUGAGUGCGGGCUCAGUGCAUAGUAUCCACCGUGACAAAGGUAGCCGCGCUCUGGUUUGAACGAAUGCUCACAGCAAUACAGAAUGAGAAUGACUUGCAAGCUGCGGCAAUAAUGUUAAAGCGUUGCGAGAGCCACACUGAUAACGUACUCGACCGCCUCGUCAUCAUGGAUGAGUGUUGGGUCCACCAUUAUGACCCAGGAACGAAAUCGCAAAGCAAACAGCACGUGAACUGUUAGACUCUCACAGGGGCACUCACCAGUCCGCGCCGGCAUCACGAAAUGCCAUACUAAGCGUAUUCUGGGACUGCCCUGGUGCUCUUCUCACAGAUUAUGCCCACGUAGGCCAAACAAUCACAGGGAAAGGAACUUUCUAUUUGAGCUAGUUUAUGCUUCCCCGGAAACAUACUCGUCACUUAAAGUAUGCCACACAAACCACAGAGAUCACGCAAAACACGAUAAUCCGGGCGGCAGUUGCGGCUGAUGCGGGUACGAAACUAAUAGUAAAUCAUGUCUCAUGUCGAGAAGGCAUCAGUCACAUCUUACGGGACAACCAUCACUCAAAGAAUCUAAUUUCAAACUUGUAUAACUGUACGGACGUAUCCUUUAUACAUUCGCUGUCUAACUCUUUAAUGCGAAGCAUCAAAGCCCCAAGGGAAGAUACCUGCACCAUGCCGACAGAAUAUACAAAUGGCUCCAUUAGUGUGAAGGACUGUUACUGUGUGGACUGUUAACGACACAGGGGCCUUAAAUGUGACUCUCACAGGGAACGGCAUCUGUGGCAGUGUCUCAUGUGAGUCUACAUCACGGUUCUCCACACAAGCACGCAGAUUCACCAAAGAAUACACAGAGAUGCUAUCGCCAUUCCACAGGCCAGCACAGGAAAGACUAUGUAAAAGGAUCAAAGGCCAACAUCUACAGAAAAAAUAACCUUAGAUCUUGAUGCCUAAACGAACAAGUCCACCGACAGCAGUGCAUCGCAUUUCCUUUGGUCUCAUUUUCGAUUCUCUGCCAUAUGUAUAGGUGUAUAUGAUAUCUGGAUAAAAGUGUUCACCACAGAACCUAAGAACUAGCACCAUUCAUUCACCCUGUUCAAAAUAUGUUGCAGAGCCUUUCGAGAGAAAAUUAGUUGCUUAGAUGCAGUGAUUUUUUUUUUCUUCAUGCCUCCAGAGUUGUGCAGACUUUUUUGUUGUUGUUGUUGUAUAUCUAUGUGCAUGCAGGUGUGUGUUCCAAAAUGACUGAAAGAAGAGUACCUGAGCAUAUAAGCUCGACUGGUUAAAAAAAAAAAAAUCUGUUCACUAUGGCUUCUAUAAAAGUUGUCGUAUAGUUGCCUUUGCUUUGUUUAAUCUUGCACAGUUAUGGUGUGAAGUAUUAUGAAAUAAUUCUAUAUUUUUUGGGCUUUGCAAAUAGUGACUAUUCAAUUCAAGGGCCAAAUUGAAUAAAUUAUUAGUUAAAAGUCAUCUAACCGCUAACUAACAUACCACUAGCCAUUUGCAUUCACCAUCAUCAUCGUCAGACAUAAAUAAGCUGCAGGAUGCAUAUAAAAGAAAAUCGUGGCUUAAAAUGAGUGAGGGGAUUUGAAUCCACUAGUAGAUGUUAAGAUUGUUCUAAAUCAUUUCUUGGAACCAGAGAAUGUUUGGUUAUUUUAUAAGAUAUGGUAGAUAAUUACAUGCUAUUGUAGUAUGCAUACAGCACUAAAACACAUUAUGGAAAGAAUAUUUGCACUGGACUCGCGGAUGACAAGAAGCUGGUGAAGGACGAAUCAGCCUCUUGAACGAGCAGCCAAAGAACCAAAUACACAGGCAUGCAGGGCGCAGACUAUGUAGCAAAGUGGACAGUUGGGCGUGUUGCUUAACGGCCAUAUUUGAAACAGCAAAAAUGGGACAGGUACUUCUUCCUGAGUCUUUUACCUGGCUUGCGCUAUUUCAGAGUAUGUAUGCACUUUCGCUCUACAUGUACUACAACACCACAAUAAAACGUAAAUACGAGCAAACUUGAGACAUUGUUAUUUUGGUGAGUUAAUGCCAUUGGACAACGGGAAAAAUAUUUGCUGUCGCAAAAUAAGACUACACACACCGCUGAGUGUUAGAUUUGACAUCUUUCUGCUUUUCUCUUCUGCAUCGGAUCAAAUUGGUAUCCAUUGCACAUGAAAGCUACGCCGAUUUAGUAUCUGCUCCAAGGAACCAAAAGCGCUGUUUAACUCUGCCAGACUACUCGGUGCGAUUACACAUACGCAGAAGCUGCGCACCACCAACACAAUUGUUCAUCUUGCUAAAACACACAUUUCGCUGUCCACAUUCGCCACUGUGUGAGUGGCACUAGUGAGAAAGCUAGUAUUGUGACUAAAGCGUGUUUAGUGUAGAGUUAUGCCACAACCACAUGCCAUGAUUUCACCUAAUUGGAAGAGGUGUUCUGUGUCACAUCCUGUUCUAUUCUGAUAUCGUGCUGGAAACUGGACAAUGACAGGCUUGGCUCAACUUUUCUUUAAUAUAUACUUUGGACAGGUUGUUUAAAGACCUCUUUGGGCGACAUCACAUAAGAGGUGGAAUAAUAAAACAACAUAAAUGCAUAAAUGUACCCUGUGUUGUCAUCAAAUGUUCUUCAGAGUACAUUGUGAGAAUGUAUGUUGGUAGACUAUGUUAGUGAUUUGGCAGAAAAUGCUUUUCCAUCCUGGUUGCACAGGAAAAUAAUGGUGUGUGGAACACAUUCAUGUAUGCACACUGGCAGAAAACUUUGCAAGGUUAUGAUAUAUUUUGGGCAAAUCAAGACACCUGUAAAGCUUCAAAAUAAACCAUCCUUUUCCUACCAAGUCACUGACAUAACCUGCCUAACAUCCUUGUGGUCGUUCACUAUUGUUCCCAUUUGCCUCUUCUCACUACCUGUGUGCGAUUGCUUCUUGCGCUAACAUAAGGAGAACCAUGUCCUUCACUGACAACUGCAGCCUUGGGAUAGCGAACCAACAUGCUCAUUGGUGCAGAAAACUGCAGGUAGUAUGUUUUGCUCAGAAUGUGUCGCUUUCUU
Dermacentor albipictus is the source of this 3481-nucleotide RNA transcript. It is a transcript of the gene named zinc finger protein 8-like, with no coding region annotated. The record is from RefSeq and is a predicted model, not a curated record. Lineage: Eukaryota; Metazoa; Arthropoda; Arachnida; Ixodida; Ixodidae.